GACGAACGCUGGCGGCGUGCUUAACACAUGCAAGUCGAACGGAAAGGCCCUGCUUUUGUGGGGUGCUCGAGUGGCGAACGGGUGAGUAACACGUGAGUAACCUGCCCUUGACUUUGGGAUAACUUCAGGAAACUGGGGCUAAUACCGGAUAGGAGCUCCUGCUGCAUGGUGGGGGUUGGAAAGUUUCGGCGGUUGGGGAUGGACUCGCGGCUUAUCAGCUUGUUGGUGGGGUAGUGGCUUACCAAGGCUUUGACGGGUAGCCGGCCUGAGAGGGUGACCGGCCACAUUGGGACUGAGAGACGGCCCAGACUCCUACGGGAGGCAGCAGUGGGGAGUAUUGCACAAUGGGCGGAAGCCUGAUGCAGCAACGCCGCGUGCGGGAUGACGGCCUUCGGGUUGUAAACCGCUUUCGCCUGUGACGAAGCGUGAGUGACGGUAAUGGGUAAAGAAGCACCGGCUAACUACGUG
This 468-nucleotide ribosomal RNA is filed under the name uncultured bacterium. RNAcentral's name for it is "partial 16S ribosomal RNA". It matches the Rfam family "Bacterial small subunit ribosomal RNA", at positions 28 to 507 of the family's 1533-position model. The record is from RNAcentral.